GGUGAACGCUGGCGGCGUGCCUAUACAUGCAAGUCGAGCGAACAGAGAAGGAGCUUGCUCCUUCGACGUUAGCGGCGGACGGGUGAGUAACACGUGGGCAACCUACCUUAUAGUUUGGGAUAACUCCGGGAAACCGGGGCUAAUACCGAAUAAUCUGUUUCAUCUCAUGGUGAAACACUGAAAGACGGUUUCGGCUGUCGCUAUAGGAUGGGCCCGCGGCGCAUUAGCUAGUUGGUGAGGUAACGGCUCACCAAGGCGACGAUGCGUAGCCGACCUGAGAGGGUGAUCGGACACACUGGGACUGGGACACGGCCCAGACUCCUACGGGAGGCAGCAGUAGGGAAUCUUCCACAAUGGGCGAAAGCCUGAUGGAGCAACGCCGCGUGAGUGAAGAAGGAUUUCGGUUCGUAAAACUCUGUUGUAAGGGAAGAACAAGUACAGUAGUAACUGGCUGUACCUUGACGGUACCUUAUUAGAAAGCCACGGCUAACUACGUGCCAGCAGCCGCCGUAA
RNAcentral lists this ribosomal RNA (513 nucleotides) under uncultured bacterium. RNAcentral's name for it is "partial 16S ribosomal RNA". It matches the Rfam family "Bacterial small subunit ribosomal RNA", at positions 28 to 523 of the family's 1533-position model. The record is from RNAcentral.